GCCAUGAAUGCAUCAUUUGCAUACACGCGCUAGUGCCCGAGCGUUUUGACUUUCAGUUGAAAGCAACAGUCGACGCGCUCUGACGAUGAAACUAACGUUAGCGGCAGUUAAUGUUUAAUGUCCUCAUCUGCUAAAUGAGAAACUUUAACUUUAUAUCAAAUAUUCAACUCUUCGACACAGACCAAUUCAUUCCUUUAACAGUACGUCACAAUGAAAGAAGCGACGCUGAUGGCCGGAACACUGAUUCCACCAACGUUAAACAAGAGGCCCGUAAACAACAACAAAGGCCCUAAACAGACAGCUCCCCAAGAGAUGGAAUGUACACCUGCCAAUCAAGACAAAUCUCCACCAAAAAAGAAAAAACCUCCCUCUAAACCAUCCACUUUGGAGUCGGCAGAUUUGUUUAAGGCUACAACUGCAGGUGCAAGUAGAGAGGUCAGCAUGCUGCGCUUCAAAUUUGCCGAAGUGUUAUG
Long non-coding RNA from Morone saxatilis (striped sea-bass), 473 nucleotides. RefSeq lists it as uncharacterized. The record is from RefSeq and is a predicted model, not a curated record. The transcript has 4 exons. NCBI's taxonomy places the organism in Eukaryota, Metazoa, Chordata, Actinopteri, Moronidae.